AAUAGAUACCCGGGUAGUCCAUGCCGUAAACGAUGUCUACUAGCCGUUGGGGCCUUUGAGGCUUUAGUGGCGCAGCUAACGCGAUAAGUAGACCGCCUGGGGAGUACGGUCGCAAGACUAAAACUCAAAUGAAUUGACGGGGGCCCGCACAAGCGGUGGAGCAUGUGGUUUAAUUCGAUGCAACGCGAAGAACCUUACCUGGCCUUGACAUACUAAGAACUUUCCAGAGAUGGAUUGGUGCCUUCGGGAACUUAGAUACAGGUGCUGCAUGGCUGUCGUCAGCUCGUGUCGUGAGAUGUUGGGUUAAGUCCCGCAACGAGCGCAACCCUUUUCCUUACUUGCCAGCAUUUCGGAUGGGAACUUUAAGGAUACUGCCAGUGACAAACUGGAGGAAGGCGGGGACGACAUCAAGUCAUCAUGGCCCUUACGGCCAGGGCUACACACGUGCUACAAUGGUCGGUACAAAGGGUUGCUACUGCGCGAGCAGAUGCUAAUCUCAAAAAGCCGAUCGUAGUCCGGAUCGCAGU
RNAcentral lists this ribosomal RNA (527 nucleotides) under uncultured bacterium. RNAcentral's name for it is "bacterial SSU rRNA". It matches the Rfam family "Bacterial small subunit ribosomal RNA", at positions 777 to 1304 of the family's 1533-position model. The record is from RNAcentral.